UACGCAGGGCGCUAGCGUUGCUCGGAAUUACUGGGCGUAAAGGGCGCGUAGGCGGCCAUAUCAGUCAGGUGUGAAACCCCUGGGCUCAACCUAGGAACUGCACUUGAGACGGUAUGGCUUGAGGUCGAGAGAGGAUGGUGGAACUCCCAAGGGAGAGGUGAAAUUCGUAGAUAUUGGGAAGAACACCGGUGGCGAAGGCGGCCAUCUUGCUCGAUCCUGACGCUGCGUCGCGGCAGCGUUGGGAGCAAACCGG
Molecule: ribosomal RNA, 253 nt
Filed under: uncultured bacterium
Lineage: Bacteria
Description: partial 16S ribosomal RNA
Rfam family: Bacterial small subunit ribosomal RNA
Source: RNAcentral